This 429-nucleotide ribosomal RNA is filed under the name Gemmatimonadota bacterium. RNAcentral describes it as "Gemmatimonadetes bacterium partial 16S ribosomal RNA". It matches the Rfam family "Bacterial small subunit ribosomal RNA", at positions 355 to 776 of the family's 1533-position model. The record is from RNAcentral. Lineage: Bacteria; Pseudomonadati; Gemmatimonadota.
UAGGGAAUCUUCGGCAAUGGACGAAAGUCUGACCGAGCAACGCCGCGUGAGUGAAGAAGGUUUUCGGAUCGUAAAACUCUGUUGUUAGAGAAGAACAAGGACGUUAGUAACUGAACGUCCCCUGACGGUAUCUAACCAGAAAGCCACGGCUAACUACGUGCCAGCAGCCGCGGUAAUACGUAGGUGGCAAGCGUUGUCCGGAUUUAUUGGGCGUAAAGCGAGCGCAGGCGGUUUCUUAAGUCUGAUGUGAAAGCCCCCGGGUCAACCGGGGAGGGUCAUUGGAAACUGGGAGACUUGAGUGCAGAAGAGGAGAGUGGAAUUCGAUGUGUAGCGGUGAAAUGCGUAGAUAUAUGGAGGAACACCAGUGGCGAAGGCGGCUCUCUGGUCUGUAAGUGACGAUGAGGCUCGAAAGCGUGGGGAGCAAACAGG